CAUACCGCGUGGGUGAAGAAGGCCUUCGGGUUGUAAAGCCCUUUUGUUGGGAAAGAAAUCCAGCUGGCUAAUACCCGGUUGGGAUGACGGUACCCAAAGAAUAAGCACCGGCUAACUUCGUGCCAGCAGCCGCGGUAAUACGAAGGGUGCAAGCGUUACUCGGAAUUACUGGGCGUAAAGCGUGCGUAGGUGGUUAUUUAAGUCCGUUGUGAAAGCCCUGGGCUCAACCUGGGAACUGCAGUGGAUACUGGAUGACUAGAAUGUGGUAGAGGGUAGCGGAAUUCCUGGUGUAGCAGUGAAAUGCGUAGAGAUCAGGAGGAACAUCCAUGGCGAAGGCAGCUACCUGGACCAACAUUGACACUGAGGCACGAAAGCGUGGGGAGCAAACAGGAUUAGAUACCCUGGUAGUCCACGCCCUAAACGAUGCGAACUGGAUGUUGGGUGCAAUUUGGCACGCAGUAUCGAAGCUAACGCGUUAAGUUCGCCGCCUGGGGAGUACGGUCGCAAGACUGAAACUCAAAGGAAUUGACGGGGGCCCGCACAAGCGGUGGAGUAUGUGGUUUAAUUCGAUGC
RNAcentral lists this ribosomal RNA (573 nucleotides) under Stenotrophomonas maltophilia. RNAcentral describes it as "bacterial SSU rRNA". It matches the Rfam family "Bacterial small subunit ribosomal RNA", at positions 393 to 957 of the family's 1533-position model. The record is from RNAcentral. Lineage: Bacteria; Pseudomonadati; Pseudomonadota; Gammaproteobacteria; Lysobacterales; Lysobacteraceae.